Long non-coding RNA from Prunus avium (sweet cherry), 414 nucleotides. RefSeq lists it as uncharacterized. NCBI's taxonomy places the organism in Eukaryota, Viridiplantae, Streptophyta, Magnoliopsida, Rosales, Rosaceae. The record is from RefSeq and is a predicted model, not a curated record.
UGGGAUAGGUUAGGACUCAUAUUUCCUAUUGGAUAACAAUCCAGCAAACCCUAGUAUUGUAAACCUGAGGGGAACCACGGGUUUAGAACGACAUCGCCUCCUUUCUCCUUUCUCCUUUCUCCUUUCUCCUUCGAUCGUCUACAGCCUCCACUUCCUCUCUCCUUCGUUCUUCUACGCCUCUGCUUUUUCGAUUGUCUACGCCUCUUCCUCCUCCUCAUUGGCUAUCAGCUAUUUCAUACCCAGAGGUGUUGGAUCCCGAGCAAGCAAUGAAAGCGCUAUCUGGGUAGACAUGAAUCGAAAGAGAAAGAGGAAGAUUGGGAAAGAGAAAGAGGAAGAAUUUUUGUGUUAUUAUUAAUUUUGUCAAUUUUGGGACUAUUUUUAUGGUAUCUUCAUGUGAUUUCUUAUUUUUAAUUU